CUCCGGCCUCGGGGGAGCCGUCGGCGGCCCGGCGCGGGGGGAGGGGGGCUCCCGGGAGGGGAAGUUCCCUGAAUCCCCGCCUCGCCCCCGCCCUGGCGUCCCCCACCCCCUUGCCGCGACCACCGUCCCCACCGCGAUCCCCUCCUCCGCACCCGCCCCAGCGCCGCGCACUUUGUCCCCACUUUGCGUUUGCACAGCCUGAGGCCCUCAGCCCGGCGGGUGCGGGGAACCUCGGGAACCACCGGCGCGCCCAGGGUCACACCGUAACUCCGCUCUGGGGAGAUGCGUACGCAUCAUACUUCGAGGGGCGCGUACAGUGCAUUUUAAUACCUCCAGAGACUAGAGAUUAGGUGCUCCCUCUCGGCCACAUUGGUCACUGGGCUCGCCGGUGACCUCGGGCUCACGUUGCUUUGGCGCACAGCCUCAGUUUCCCGGUCUGCUAACCCGGGGACAGGCUUUUCCCCUCCGGGCCGGUGCAAAUGUAAAGCAGAGCUCCCGGCCGCUCCGGCGCGGGCUUAGCGCGCCGCACCCCACCCACUCCCAUCCCUCCCGGGGCGCCUCAGGGCUGCGCUGGGCAGAGAGGCGGGCAGUGGACGCCGGGACGCACAGCGGGUGCUCCCUCCUCCGCCCCCAGGGUUUUGCCUCACUUCUUGCCGGAUAAGAGGAGGCCAUGGGAAAGCACCAAGCAAGAGGAGCCUCCUCAGUCACCCCAGGACCCAGUCAUCACCCACCCACCAAGAGGUCUGGCUGCGUCUCCCAGCAGCCCUACUGGGGGAGACAUUUCUCUCCUUUUUUAUUUUUCUAAAGAUUUUAUUGAUUUAUUCAUGAGAGACACAGAGAGAGGAUGGGGGAGGGGGCAGAGAGAGAAGCAGGCUCCAUGCAGCGAGCCCGACGUGGGACUCAAUUCUGGAUCUCCAGGAUCACACCCUGGGCUGAAGGCGGCACUAAACCACUGAGCCACCCAGGCUGCCCAUCUCUCCUUUAUUAGAUGAGGUACCCAGGGUACACUGGGCACCCCAUAUUUCAUGCACACGAUUACACCGUGGGGCUGGGCACCCUGAGUCUGGACAUCUUGGACAUCUGGGUGAAUGCACUUGAAGCUCAGCUUCUGGGUGCAGCAGCCUCCUGGGCAGGCAGAAGCAGCCCCUCCUCCCAUACCUGAGGAAUCUAACCUUUCCUGCUGAAGAUUCCUAACACCCUUGCCUGAAGCGACCCUCAUGCAGGCUCCCCCCAGCACCACCCUGGAAUGAAGGUCAGAUUUCAGCAUGCCCCAGGUGCUCAGAAGUCAAGGUUGACCCUGGAGAAAAUAGCUUAUCCUCCAAAUGAAAAACAAAUGUUGCUAAUUUCUAUCAAUAAAAAACGAACCCAGGGGCUCUGGGUGGAGAAG
This 1387-nucleotide long non-coding RNA is filed under the name Canis lupus dingo (dingo). RNAcentral describes it as "lncRNA (ENSCAFG00020017178.1)". The record is from RNAcentral. Lineage: Eukaryota; Metazoa; Chordata; Mammalia; Carnivora; Canidae.